CGACCGUUGAUCGGCCGAUUGGACGCGGCGAAGGCAGGUAGCUCAUUUGGUCUUCGGGCCUCACGAGAACGUACAGUCUCGCCGUCCGCAUCGGUCGCAAGGUCGAGGAAAGAUGACCACGUUCUGCGCCUGCUCGCCCUUCGGGGCUGGGGCUGGAGCCGCCGGACUCCCGCUCGUGCGGCGUACGGGGACUGUCCUCAGUGCCCGCUCGCUCGUGCGGUCGAGGAAGGCCGGAUCGCCUCUCAGGCGCACGGGGUCUGCCAACUUGGCCGGGCGCCUUUUCGACCCGUCUUGAAACACGGACCAAGAAGUCUAACGGACACGCAAGUCGAAGGGCCGUAUACGAAGCCCCAAGGCGCAAUGAAAGUAAAGGUCGGCAUAGGUCGGCCCAGGUGGGAUCCUUAACCCUAUGGUUUGAGGCGCACCACCGCCCCGUCUCGUCCGCUUUGCUCGGUGAGGCGGAGGAAGAGCGUGUACGCUAGGACCCGAAAGAUGGUGAACUAUGCCCGA
This 510-nucleotide ribosomal RNA is filed under the name Clarkcoma bollonsi. Its description in RNAcentral is "eukaryotic LSU rRNA". It matches the Rfam family "Eukaryotic large subunit ribosomal RNA", at positions 584 to 840 of the family's 3401-position model. Lineage: Eukaryota; Metazoa; Echinodermata; Ophiuroidea; Amphilepidida; Ophiocomidae. The record is from RNAcentral.